AUGAAGGUGGAAGUUUUCAUAUCCCUUUGGAUAACUACCCCUUUUGAGACUACUUUCAUAGCAUAGAUCAACUACCAAGCCACGCACCGCCGUGCUCUAAAAGAUAUAAGUGAAGCACAUAGAGCAAAAGCAACUAGCUCAAAAGAUAUAAGUGAAGCACAUGUGAGCUGAAUUGUCUAACCAAAGGGUAUAAGUGAAGCUCGACAAAAUCACGGUGAGUGCAUGUCUCUCUCUAGGUGUACAGCAAGGAUGAUUGUGACACAACAAAAAUAAAAGACUCCUACGAUACAAGACGCUCCAAGCAAAACACAUAACAUGUGGUGAAUAAAAAUAU
RNAcentral lists this long non-coding RNA (334 nucleotides) under Hordeum vulgare. RNAcentral's name for it is "long non-coding RNA (HVUL_LNC019502)". The record is from RNAcentral. Lineage: Eukaryota; Viridiplantae; Streptophyta; Magnoliopsida; Poales; Poaceae.